AGUGGGAUAGCUUGGUCAAAUGGUGGUUCCAUUUCAAGUUCUCUAAGAAAUCUCCAUACUGCUUGCCAGAUGAGUAGCACCAAUUUGCAGUCCUAUGAGCAAU
Molecule: microRNA precursor, 103 nt
Filed under: Marmota monax (woodchuck)
Lineage: Eukaryota; Metazoa; Chordata; Mammalia; Rodentia; Sciuridae
Source: RNAcentral